This 399-nucleotide ribosomal RNA is filed under the name uncultured bacterium. Its description in RNAcentral is "bacterial SSU rRNA". It matches the Rfam family "Bacterial small subunit ribosomal RNA", at positions 30 to 430 of the family's 1533-position model. The record is from RNAcentral.
AUUGAACGCUGGCGGCAUGCUUUACACAUGCAAGUCGAACGGGCUUAGGGGCUUGCUCCUAAGUUAGUGGCGAACGGGUGAGUAAUACAUCGGAACGUACCGUGUAGUGGGGGAUAACGUAGCGAAAGUUACGCUAAUACCGCAUACGAUCUACGGAUGAAAGUGGGGGACCUUCGGGCCUCACGCUAUACGAGCGGCCGAUGUCUGAUUAGCUAGUUGGUGAGGUAAAGGCUCACCAAGGCAACGAUCAGUAGCGGGUCUGAGAGGAUGAUCCGCCACACUGGGACUGAGACACGGCCCAGACUCCUACGGGAGGCAGCAGUGGGGAAUUUUGGACAAUGGGCGAAAGCCUGAUCCAGCCAUGCCGCGUGUCUGAAGAAGGCCCUUCGGGUUGUUAAA